GGCCUGUUAGCUCAGCUGGUUAGAGCGUGGUGCUAACAACGCCAAGGUCGUGGGUUCGAUCCCCACAUGGGCCA
This 74-nucleotide transfer RNA is filed under the name Danionella translucida. It matches the Rfam family "tRNA". Rfam says of the family: Transfer RNA (tRNA) molecules are approximately 80 nucleotides in length. Their secondary structure includes four short double-helical elements and three loops (D, anti-codon, and T loops). Lineage: Eukaryota; Metazoa; Chordata; Actinopteri; Cypriniformes; Danionidae. The record is from Rfam by way of RNAcentral. RNAcentral also lists the same sequence under 1 other name.